Molecule: ribosomal RNA, 521 nt
Filed under: uncultured prokaryote
Description: bacterial SSU rRNA
Rfam family: Bacterial small subunit ribosomal RNA
Source: RNAcentral
UGGGGAAUCUUGCACAAUGGAGGAAACUCUGAUGCAGCGAUGCCGCGUGAGUGAAGAAGGCCUUUGGGUUGUAAAGCUCUUUUGUAGGGGAAGAUAAUGACUGUACCCUAAGAAUAAGGUCCGGCUAACUUCGUGCCAGCAGCCGCGGUAAUACGAAGGGACCUAGCGUAGUUCGGAAUUACUGGGCGUAAAGCGCGCGUAGGCCGUUGAGUUAGUUAAUUGUGAAAUCCCAAAGCUUAACUUUGGAACUGCAAUUAAAACUGCUCGACUAGAGUUUGAUAGAGGAAAGCGGAAUACAUAGUGUAGAGGUGAAAUUCGUAGAUAUUAUGUAGAACACCAGUUGCGAAGGCGGCUUUCUGGAUCAACACUGACGCUGAGGCGCGAAAGUAUGGGUAGCAAAGAGGAUUAGAUACCCUCGUAGUCCAUACCAUAAACGAUGAUUGCUAGAUGUUGGAAAUUUAUUUUCAGUAUCGCAGCUAACGCAUUAAGCAAUCCGCCUGAGGAGUACGACCGCAAGGUUA